GCAGAACGCGAAGAACCUUACCAGGGCUUGACAUCCUACUAAUGAAGCAGAGAUGCAUUAAGUGCCCGUUCGGGGAAAGUAGAGACAGGUGGUGCAUGGUUGUCGUCAGCUCGUGUCGUGAGAUGUUGGGUUAAGUCCCGCAACGAGCGCAACCCCUAUUGUUAGUUGCUACGCAAGAGCACUCUAGCGAGACUGCCGUUGACAAAACGGAGGAAGGUGGGGACGACGUCAAAUCAUCAUGCCCCUUAUGUCCUGGGCCACACACGUAAUGCAAUGGCGGUCAACAGAGGGAUGCUAAGCCGUGAGGUGGAGCGAACCCCUAAAAGCCGUCUCAGUUCGGAUUACAGGCUGCAACUCGCCUGCAUGAAGCUGGAGUUGCUAGUAAUCGUGGAUCAGCAUGUCACGGUGAAUACGUUCCCGGGUCUUGUACACACCG
RNAcentral lists this ribosomal RNA (436 nucleotides) under uncultured bacterium. RNAcentral describes it as "bacterial SSU rRNA". It matches the Rfam family "Bacterial small subunit ribosomal RNA", at positions 954 to 1392 of the family's 1533-position model. The record is from RNAcentral.